Non-coding RNA from Arvicanthis niloticus (Nile rat), 323 nucleotides. Lineage: Eukaryota; Metazoa; Chordata; Mammalia; Rodentia; Muridae. The record is from RefSeq and is a predicted model, not a curated record.
GAGAGAGAGGACGACUGGGAAGCAGGAGGCUGCAAUUUGCAAUAAAGGCCACAGAAAAUCAAUGAAUUGGAGAGAUAGCAGGGCAGAACGGCAAGAUGCUGCAAAGAAACACUCUGAACACAGAUGCUUUGAACACAACAAUAAAUAAAUGAACAAAUAAAAGGGUGCUUUCCUGAAGGACAGAAUGUUUCAUUCAUGAAGAAAACUGCUACACAAAAAUGUAAAAUUAAAGAGAGUUACAAAUCACUGCAGUUUCAAAUGCAUUGAUGGUUGCAAUAUGUAGGCAGUUGCAGCAAAGUGUGAAGGCUUUCCUAUGAGUUUCA